CAGGCCUAACACAUGCAAGUCGAGCGGAAACGAGUUAUCUGAACCUUCGGGGAACGAUAACGGCGUCGAGCGGCGGACGGGUGAGUAAUGCCUAGGAAAUUGCCCUGAUGUGGGGGAUAACCAUUGGAAACGAUGGCUAAUACCGCAUAAUACCUACGGGUCAAAGAGGGGGACCUUCGGGCCUCUCGCGUCAGGAUAUGCCUAGGUGGGAUUAGCUAGUUGGUGAGGUAAUGGCUCACCAAGGCGACGAUCCCUAGCUGGUCUGAGAGGAUGAUCAGCCACACUGGAACUGAGACACGGUCCAGACUCCUACGGGAGGCAGCAGUGGGGAAUAUUGCACAAUGGGCGCAAGCCUGAUGCAGCCAUGCCGCGUGUGUGAAGAAGGCCUUCGGGUUGUAAAGCACUUUCAGUCGUGAGGAAGGUAGUGUAGUUAAUAGCUGCAUUAUUUGACGUUAGCGACAGAAGAAGCACCGGCUAACUCCGUGCCAGCAGCCGCGGUAAUACGGAGGGUGCGAGCGUUAAUCGGA
RNAcentral lists this ribosomal RNA (527 nucleotides) under Vibrio sp. OT222. RNAcentral's name for it is "bacterial SSU rRNA". It matches the Rfam family "Bacterial small subunit ribosomal RNA", at positions 43 to 549 of the family's 1533-position model. Lineage: Bacteria; Pseudomonadati; Pseudomonadota; Gammaproteobacteria; Vibrionales; Vibrionaceae. The record is from RNAcentral.